Notothenia coriiceps (black rockcod) is the source of this 343-nucleotide long non-coding RNA. RefSeq lists it as uncharacterized. The record is from RefSeq and is a predicted model, not a curated record. The transcript has 5 exons. NCBI's taxonomy places the organism in Eukaryota, Metazoa, Chordata, Actinopteri, Perciformes, Nototheniidae.
UUCUCCGUCCUGCUGUGGGCCACUAUCAUUAUUUUCAUUUUGGUUUUGGCGCUGCUGGUGCUGGGAGUCAUUUAUAUUAAACACAGAGACUCCUCAAAGACACAAACAGCAGAUUCACCAUGCGAGGAAAAUCUAAACGCCUGUGAAGAGGAUCAGGAAAAUGUCACGUAUGCUCUCGUCGUCAAAAAACCAAGACAUCACCAAGACGCUGCAGACGCUGCUGAUAAUCCGAGCCUCAGCAUCGAGACAGACCACAGCCAAAACCCACAAACUGAAGCAGGUGAACCUUCAUUUGAAACAGUUUACUCUGCGUUGGUUAUAAAUGAGACUCCACAAACUCACG